Molecule: ribosomal RNA, 402 nt
Filed under: uncultured prokaryote
Description: bacterial SSU rRNA
Rfam family: Bacterial small subunit ribosomal RNA
Source: RNAcentral
UAACGAAUAUUGGGCAAUGGGCGCAAGCCUGACCCAGCGACGCCGCGUGGAGGAUGAAGUUCCUCGGAAUGUAAACUCCUGUCAGGGGUUAGAAAGUUCUGAUCAACCCCAGAGGAAGGCACGGCUAACUCUGUGCCAGCAGCCGCGGUAAGACAGAGGUGCCAAGCGUUAGGCGGAAUCACUGGGCUUAAAGCGUGUGUAGGCGGAGGUCUAAGUGCUUUGUGAAAUCCCAUGGCUCAACCAUGGAAUCGCUGGGCAUACUGGGCUUCUUGAGCCACUUAGGGGUUGCUGGAACAAACGGUGGAGCGGUGAAAUGCGUAGAUAUCGUUUGGAACGCCAAAGGUGAAAACAGGCAACUGGGAGUGUGCUGACGCUGAGACACGAAAGCCAGGGGAGCAAACG